GGACUACCGGGGUAUCUAAUCCCGUUUGCUCCCCUGGCUUUCGUGCCUCAGCGUCAGGAAAUGUCCAGAGACUCGCCUUCGCCACUGGUGUUCCACUUGAUAUCUACGCAUUUCACUGCUACACCAAGUAUUCCAGUCUCCCCUCCAUUCCUCUAGCCGGAUAGUAUUCAACGCAGUUUCCGGGUUAGGCCCGGAGAUUUCACGUCAAACUUACCCAACCGCCUACGCACCCUUUACGCCCAGUGAAUCCGAACAACGCUUGGGACCUCUGUAUUACCGCGGCUGCUGGCAC
RNAcentral lists this ribosomal RNA (292 nucleotides) under uncultured Verrucomicrobiota bacterium. Its description in RNAcentral is "uncultured Verrucomicrobia bacterium partial 16S ribosomal RNA". The record is from RNAcentral. Lineage: Bacteria; Pseudomonadati; Verrucomicrobiota.